Molecule: ribosomal RNA, 485 nt
Filed under: uncultured bacterium
Lineage: Bacteria
Description: bacterial SSU rRNA
Rfam family: Bacterial small subunit ribosomal RNA
Source: RNAcentral
GACGAACGCUGGCGGCGUGCUUAAUACAUGCAAGUCAACUUGACUUUAGAUAGCAAUAUCGAAAAGUAGGGUGGCGCACGGGUGCGUAACGCGUAGGUAAUCUGCCCUGAGGUCUGACAUAACCCGUCGAAAGGCGGGCUAACAUCAGAUGAUAUAUAAUCACGACAUCGUGGAAAUAUCAAAUCUUCGGAGCCUUGGGAUGAGCCUGCGUCUGAUUAGGUAGUUGGCGGAGUAAUAGCCCACCAAGCCUACGAUCAGUAGCUGGUCUGAGAGGAUGAUCAGCCACACUGGAACUGAGACACGGUCCAGACUCCUACGGGAGGCAGCAGUAAGGAAUAUUGCUCAAUGGGGGAAACCCUGAAGCAGCAACGCCGCGUGAAGGAUGAAAUACUUUGUAUGUAAACUUCUGUAAGAUGGGAAAAAUAUUACUCCUCGGAGAAUUGAUUGUACCAUCAGAGUAAGCCCCGGCUAACUACGUGCCAGCA